AGCAGCCGCGGUAAUUCCAGCUCCAAUAGCGUAUAUUAAAGUUGUUGCAGUUAAAAAGCUCGUAGUUGAAUUUCGGGAUCAAUUUGUCGGUCGUGCCUCGGUACGUACUGGCAUUAUUGGUUUCUACCUUCUGAAGAACCUUGAUGUCAUUAAUUUGGUGUCUUGGGGAAUCAGGACUGUUACUUUGAAAAAUUGAGUGUUUAAAGCAGGCAUACGCUUGAAUACAUUAGCAUGGAAUAAUGAAAUAGGACGUUUGAUUCUAUUUUGUUGGUUUCUAGGAUCGACGUAAUGAUUAAUAGGGAUAGUUGGGGGCAUUAGUAUUCAAUUGUCAGAGGUGAAAUUCUUGGAUUUAU
RNAcentral lists this ribosomal RNA (353 nucleotides) under uncultured Glomeromycotina. RNAcentral's name for it is "SSU rRNA". It matches the Rfam family "Eukaryotic small subunit ribosomal RNA", at positions 569 to 929 of the family's 1831-position model. The record is from RNAcentral. Lineage: Eukaryota; Fungi; Glomeromycota.